Molecule: ribosomal RNA, 1180 nt
Filed under: uncultured bacterium
Lineage: Bacteria
Description: bacterial SSU rRNA
Rfam family: Bacterial small subunit ribosomal RNA
Source: RNAcentral
AGGUAGUUGGUAGGGUAAUGGCCUACCAAGCCUAUGACGGGUAGCCGGCCUGAGAGGGCGACCGGCCCGAGGGGCACUGAGACACGGGCCCCACUCCUACGGGAGGCAGCAGGCUUGAAAUUUGGGCAAUGGGGGAAACCCUGACCCAGCGACGCCGCGUGCGGGAUGAAGCCCUUAGGGGUGUAAACCGCUGUCAGGGGGGAAGAUGGGUCGGCUGGCCAAUACCCAGUCGACUUGACGGUACCCUCUGAGGAAGCCCAGGCUAACCUCGUGCCAGCAGCCGCGGUAAUACGAGGUGGGCGAGCGUUGUCCGGAAUCACUGGGCUUGAAGUGGAUGUAGGCGGGUAGAUAAGUCGGACGUGUAAUCUAACGGCUCAACCGUUGGUCUGCGUCCGAUACUGUCUGCCUUGAGGACGGGAGAGGAGAGCGGAACUCCCGGUGUAGCGGUGAAAUGCGUAAAUAUCGGGGGGAACACCAGUGGCGAANGGCGGUUCUCUGGCCCGUUCCUGACGCUCAUAUCCGAAAGCCAGGGGAGCGAAGGGGAUUAGAUACCCCCGUAGUCCUGGCCGUAAACGAUCCCCACUAGGUGUCAGGGGCUAAGACCUUUGGUGCCGCAGGGAAACCAUUAAGUGGGGCGCCUGGGGAGUACGCCCGCAAGGGUGAAACUCAAAGGAAUUGACGGGGGCCCGCACAAGCGGUGGAGCGUGUGGUUCAAUUCGAUGCUAAGCGAAGAACCUCACCUGGGUUUGACAUGCUGGUGGUACCCCGACUGAGAGGUUGGGGGACCCGGCUUGCCGGGAGCCAGCACAGGUGGUGCACGGCUGUCGUCAGCUCGUGCCGUGAGGUGUUGGGUUAAGUCCCGCAACGAGCGCAACCCCUAUCCUUAGUUGCUACCAGCGACCAUGUGUCGGCUGGGCACUCUAAGGGGACUGCCGGCGAUGAGUCGGAGGAAGGUGGGGAUGACGUCAAGUCAGUGUGUCCUUUAUGCCCAGGGCUACACACGCGCUACAAUGGGGACUACAGAGGGUAGCAACCUCGCGAGAGGAAGCCAAUCCCUUAAAGGUCCUCCCAGUUCGGAUUGCAGGCUGCAACUCGCCUGCAUGAAGGUGGAAUCGCUAGUAAUCCCGCAUCAGCACGGCGGGGUGAAUACGUUCCCGGGUCUUGUACACACCGCCCGUCA